Molecule: ribosomal RNA, 519 nt
Filed under: uncultured eukaryote
Lineage: Eukaryota
Description: SSU rRNA
Rfam family: Eukaryotic small subunit ribosomal RNA
Source: RNAcentral
AGGGCACCACCAGGAGUGGAGCCUGCGGCUUAAUUUGACUCAACACGGGAAAACUCACCCGGCCCGGACACUGGAAGGAUUGACAGAUUGAGAGCUCUUUCUUGAUUCAGUGGGUGGUGGUGCAUGGCCGUUCUUAGUUGGUGGAGUGAUUUGUCUGGUUAAUUCCGAUAACGAACGAGACUCUAGCCUACUAAAUAGCCUGCCUGGCUUACAAACGCCGGCAAGACUUCUUAGAGGGACAGGCGGUGAUUCAACCGCACGAAACAGAGCAAUAACAGGUCUGUGGUGCCCUUAGAUGUCCGGGGCCGCACGCGCGCUACACUGAAGUGAUCAGCGUGCCUAUUCAGCCUACUCUGUCAAGAGUGGGAAACCCAAUGAACCUUCUUCGUGAUUGGGAUAGGGGAUUGUAAUUAUUCCCCUUGAACGAGGAAUUCCCAGUAAGCGCGAGUCAUAAGCUCGCGUUGAUUACGUCCCUGCCCUUUGUACACACCGCCCGUCGCUACUACCGAUUGAAUGUUU